GUAAGGAAUAUUGGUCAAUGGACGAAAGUCUGAACCAGCCAUGUCGCGUGAAGGAUGAAGGCCCUCUGGGUUGUAAACUUCUUUUAUCUGGGACGAAAAAAGGGUAUUCUUACUCACUUGACGGUACCAGAGGAAUAAGCACCGGCUAACUCCGUGCCAGCAGCCGCGGUAAUACGGAGGGUGCAAGCGUUAUCCGGAUUCACUGGGUUUAAAGGGUGCGUAGGUGGGUAUUUAAGUCAGUGGUGAAAUCUCCGAGCUUAACUCGGAAACUGCCAUUGAUACUAUUUACCUUGAAUGCCCUGGAGGUAAGCGGAAUAUGUCAUGUAGCGGUGAAAUGCUUAGAUAUGACAUAGAACACCAAUUGCGAAGGCAGCUUACUACGGGGUGAUUGACACUGAGGCACGAAAGCGUGGGGAGCAAACAGGAUUAGAAACCCCGGUAGUCC
This 445-nucleotide ribosomal RNA is filed under the name uncultured bacterium. RNAcentral describes it as "bacterial SSU rRNA". It matches the Rfam family "Bacterial small subunit ribosomal RNA", at positions 354 to 796 of the family's 1533-position model. The record is from RNAcentral.